RNAcentral lists this ribosomal RNA (421 nucleotides) under uncultured eukaryote. RNAcentral describes it as "SSU rRNA". It matches the Rfam family "Eukaryotic small subunit ribosomal RNA", at positions 592 to 1018 of the family's 1831-position model. The record is from RNAcentral.
CAAUAGCGUAUAUUAAAGUUGUUGCGGUUAAAAGCUCGUAGUUGGAUUUCUACCGAAGACAGCCGGUCCACACUACGUGUGCGCAUCUGGUGUGGCUUUGGUAUCCUCAUGGAGAACAGUUCUGCGCUUCAUUGCGUGGACUGGUAUUCAUGACUUUUACUUUGAGGAAAUUAGAGUGUUCACGGCAGGCGUUUGCCUUGAAUACAUUAGCAUGGAAUAAUAAUAUAGGACUUUGGCCCUAUUUUGUUGGUUUCUAGAGCUGAAGUAAUGAUUAAUAGGGACACUUGGGGGCAUUCGUAUUAUCACGUCAGAGGUGGAAUUCUUGGAUUGUGUUACGACGAACUACUGCGAAAGCAUUUGCCAAGGAUGUUUUCAUUGAUCAAGAACGAAAGUAAGGGGAUCGAAGAUGAUCAGAUACCAU